GAUGAACGCUGGCGGCGUGCCUAAUACAUGCAAGUCGAGCGAACGGACGAGAAGCUUGCUUCUCUGAUGUUAGCGGCGGACGGGUGAGUAACACGUGGAUAACCUACCUAUAAGACUGGGAUAACUUCGGGAAACCGUAGCUAAUACCGGAUAAUAUUUUGAACCGCAUGGUUCAAAAGUGAAAGACGGUCUUGCUGUCACUUAUAGAUGGAUCCGCGCUGCAUUAGCUAGUUGGUAAGGUAACGGCUUACCAAGGCAACGAUGCAUAGCCGACCUGAGAGGGUGAUCGGCCACACUGGAACUGAGACACGGUCCAGACUCCUAAGGGAGGCAGCAGUAGGGAAUCUUCCGCAAUGGGCGAAAGCCUGACGGAGCAACGCCGUGUGAGUGAUGAAGGUCUUCGGAUCGUAAAACUCUGUUAUUAGGGAAGAACAUAUGUGUAAGUAACUGUGCACAUCUUGACGGUACCUAAUCAGAAAGCCACGGCUAACUACGUG
This 497-nucleotide ribosomal RNA is filed under the name uncultured bacterium. RNAcentral describes it as "partial 16S ribosomal RNA". It matches the Rfam family "Bacterial small subunit ribosomal RNA", at positions 28 to 507 of the family's 1533-position model. The record is from RNAcentral.